This 564-nucleotide unclassified non-coding RNA is filed under the name Bombus terrestris (buff-tailed bumblebee). RNAcentral describes it as "misc RNA ENSBTSG00005032754.1". The record is from RNAcentral. Lineage: Eukaryota; Metazoa; Arthropoda; Insecta; Hymenoptera; Apidae.
UAUUUGCAAAUAUUCGUAAAAUAUUAUUUCUUUUUUAUCACAAAAUAAUUAUUGUAAAAUUAAAACUAGAAAUGUUGGUAUAACUACAGAAUGUAUUUCUGUAUUAUAAAUGUCCACAAAAUCAUUUUGAUUUGACAAAUGUGUAUGUGAGAUAUCAAAGUAAUUCAUGAAACUGGGUAUGAUACAAAAUAAGCAAUUGCAUCUUUUUAUAACACAUUUUUCAUUAUCUUUUAAGUUUAUGGUAAUAAUUAAUAACAAGAAAAAAACCUUCAUCAAUGUGUCUACAGUAAUUAUUAAAAGGAGUAAAGUGUAAUUGAGAACGCUUAGACGGCAACAAAAAAUAAUGAAGUGGGGUCCAGCCACACGGCGAUCACAUAACCACUUAUAACAGAUACACAAUCAGUCGGAUAGGCCUUGACGAGCGACGGUAGCUAAUCACUGUCAAGGUCACUUCCCGAAGGUCAUUUGUUUUCUCGGGAUAUUCGCCUCCGUUUUGCCUGCUCUGUUGCUUCAGCUGUUACUAAAACAAUGUUCCCGCUGUACGAGGUGUCUUCAAUUAAAAUG